RNAcentral lists this long non-coding RNA (253 nucleotides) under Solanum tuberosum (potato). RNAcentral describes it as "long non-coding RNA (STUB_LNC002849)". Lineage: Eukaryota; Viridiplantae; Streptophyta; Magnoliopsida; Solanales; Solanaceae. The record is from RNAcentral.
UUGCUUUAAUUGCUUAUUGUUAAAGGAGUUAUGCUAGUAUGGUGUUAUCUGCCAUCGUGUUAUGCAUUAAAUGACAACUAACUUGUGAGCAAUGUGAGAGUUGGCUUCCUUUUUGUUAAAUCUGUUUGAAAACAGUAGCUCAGGCAUGAGCAACUCUAGUAAUUUUGCACAUUAUUUGUGGGUUCACUACCCUUUUUCUUAAAUCUUAUUAAUGGAUCAAAACAAUUUUGUUUGACAUACUUUAACUUGGAAG